AGGGUUUGAUCAUGGCUCAGGACGAACGCUGGCGGCGUGCCUAAUACAUGCAAGUCGAGCGAUGAUUGAAGAUAGCUUGCUAUUUUCAUGAAGAGCGGCGAACGGGUGAGUAACGCGUGGGAAAUCUGCCGAGUAGCGGGGGACAACGUUUGGAAACGAACGCUAAUACCGCAUAACAAUGAGAAUCGCAUGAUUCUUAUUUGAAAGAAGCAAUUGCUUCACUACUUGAUGAUCCCGCGUUGUAUUAGCUAGUUGGUAGUGUAAAGGACUACCAAGGCGAUGAUACAUAGCCGACCUGAGAGGGUGAUCGGCCACACUGGGACUGAGACACGGCCCAGACUCCCUACGGGAAGGCAGCAGUAGGGAAUCUUCCGGCAAUGGGGGCAACCCUGACCGAGCAACGCCGCGUGAGUGAAGAAAGUUUUCGGAUCGUAAAACUCUGUUGUUAGAAGAAAACGUUAAGUAGAGUGGAAAAUUACUUAAGUGACGGUAUCUAACCAGAAAGGGACGGCUAACUACGUGCCAGCAGCCGCGGUAAUACGUAGGUCCCAAGCGUUGUCCGGAUUUAUUGGGCGUAAAGCGAGCGCAGGUGGUUUCUUAAGUCUGAUGUAAAAGGCAGUGGCUCAACCAUUGUGUGCAUUGGAAACUGGGAGACUUGAGUGCAGGAGAGGAGAGUGGAAUUCCAUGUGUAGCGGUGAAAUGCGUAGAUAUAUGGAGGAACACCGGAGGCGAAAGCGGCUCUCUGGCCUGUAACUGACACUGAGGCUCGAAAGCGUGGGGAGCAAACAGGAUUAGAUACCCUGGUAGUCCACGCCGUAAACGAUGAGUGCUAGCUGUAAGGAGCUAUAAGUUCUCUGUAGCGCAGCUAACGCAUUAAGCACUCCGCCUGGGGAGUUACGACCCCCCAAGGUUUAAAAACUUCAAAAGGAAUUGGACGGGGGCCCCCCACCAAGGCGGUGGAAGCCAUGUGGUUAAAUUCGAAAGCAACGCGAAGACCCUUACCCAGGUCUUGACAUACUCGUGCUAUCUUUAGAGGAUAAAGGAGUUCCUUCGGGACACGGGAUACAGGUGGUGCAUGGUUGUCGUCAGCUCGUGUCGUGAGAUGUUGGGUUAAGUCCCGCAACGAGCGCAACCCUUAUUACUAGUUGCCAUCAUUAAGUUGGGCACUCUAGUGAGACUGCCGGUGAUAAACCGGAGGAAGGUGGGGAUGACGUCAAAUCAUCAUGCCCCUUAUGACCUGGGCUACACACGUGCUACAAUGGAUGGUACAACGAGUCGCCAACCCGCGAGGGUGCGCUAAUCUCUUAAAACCAUUCUCAGUUCGGAUUGCAGGCUGCAACUCGCCUGCAUGAAGUCGGAAUCGCUAGUAAUCGCGGAUCAGCACGCCGCGGUGAAUACGUUCCCGGGCCUUGUACACACCGCCCGUCACACCACGGAAGUUGGGAGUACCCAAAGUAGGUUGCCUAACCGCAAGGAGGGCGCUUCCUAAGGUAAGACCGAUGACUGGGGUGAAGUCGUAACAAGGUAACC
This 1530-nucleotide ribosomal RNA is filed under the name Lactococcus sp. F9. Its description in RNAcentral is "bacterial SSU rRNA". It matches the Rfam family "Bacterial small subunit ribosomal RNA". The record is from RNAcentral. Lineage: Bacteria; Bacillati; Bacillota; Bacilli; Lactobacillales; Streptococcaceae.